Molecule: unclassified non-coding RNA, 184 nt
Filed under: uncultured Cortinariaceae
Lineage: Eukaryota; Fungi; Basidiomycota; Agaricomycetes; Agaricales; Cortinariaceae
Description: sequence contains ITS2
Source: RNAcentral
AUAUAUAUCAACCUUCUCCUUGUUGAGAGGUUUGGAUGUGGGGGUUUGCUGGCCUCUUUAAAGGGUUCAGCUCCUCUGAAAUGCAUUAGCAGAACAAACCUGUUCAUUGGUGUGAUAACUAUCUACGCUAUUGAAUGUGAGGGGAAGUUCAGCUUUCUAACAGUCUUUGGACAAUUUAUCAUUA